GAAGAUACUUGUGAGGUUCUAACCUUGAGUACUGUUUUAAAAAUGCAGCCGUUUGAUAGCUGGAAGUGAAACCCUUGGAAAAAGCUCUUAAGAAUACAUUUGAUAGUCAAAUUGUAUCUUUUCUAGAUGCUGCAAAAUCUGCUGGAUAUGCCAGAGAUAAAGAUGACCUGUCUAGUGUGCAUAUGAAUUAUGGAGCUUACUCUGGAUUUGUGGAGUUGCACAUAGAAAAAAGGGCCUAUUUUGGAAGCUGAAGGCGCACCUUUUCUUGUAUAACUUUGAUGCCCUCACAGAACUGGAAAUGUGUUGCUCCUGCUUUUCUAAAUUUUUUUAAAAUUCUUAUUUUAUGGGUUUUCCAAUUGGUGUCGUUACUGCCAUUGCUGCUCCUACUAGCAUCAAAGUGGACUCUGAAGGGGAUGGAGGUCAUGCAGCUGCUGCCCUGAUGCCAAACAGAAAUGAUGCAGGAUUAGCUGCUGCGGAGUUACCAUUGGCUUUUGAAAAGCAUGUUUUAGAAUCUGGGACCAUUGACACUGUUGGUAUUCUUGACCUGCAUCCUAGAGCUGUCAACAGCAUCCCAAGCAAAGCAUAUGUGAGAUAGACACACACGACAUUAAUGAAACGAGAAGAAACAUCAUGGUUGAUAAGAUCCAUCAGUCUGCUAUUGAUAUAGCUAAUAAACGCAAGGUCAAACUAUCAGGGUUUGAAAUUGUGAAUCGAGAUCCUCCAGCUCUUGCUGAUAAAAAAUAAUCGAAGCGAUGGAAGCUUCAGUUCAUCACGUGAGCUAAAUCAGGACUACAAACUGAUGGUUAGCAGAGCCUACCAUGAUUACCUAUUUAUUGCUAGGGUAUCUCCAAUGGGAAUGGUUUUUCAUUCCAUCCUAUAAUACAAGUUGUACACGCCAAAAAGGGGGAGGAGAAAAGACUGUGCUGGGUUGCAUGGGACAAGUUGUACACGCCAAAAAAAGGAGGGGGCCUCGGUUUCAGAAAUAUGAAGAAGUUCAAUAUGGCGUUGUUAGCUAAACAAGCUUGGCGGAUUUCGACAAAUGAGAACUCUUUGGUGGCGAAAGUGUUAAAAGGAAAAUAUUUCCCUCACUCGAACCUUUUUUAUGCUAAAGUUGGCCCGAACGCGAGUUAUACAUGGAGGUUGAUUUUAGGAGCUCGGGAUUUGCUUAGGAAGGGUGUUCGAAAAACAGUGGGAAAUGGCUCUACCAUCCAAAUUUGGAAAGAUCCGUGGAUCCAAACCUCCCAGACUUUAAAGUGAUACCGAGGCAGAAUGUGGGAGAAGGGGCACCAAUAUUUGUUUGAGACCUCUGGCUGAACAACUCAUGGAAUACUCAAGUUCUGAAGGAGUAUUUUUCCACAGUUGAGGUAACUGAAAUCUGCAGUUUACCUAACCCUCUCUAUAAUAGGCUGGAUGCUUGGAUGUGGCACUUUACUAAUGAUGGGCGCUACUCUGUAAGAAGUGCUUAUAAUCUGAUUACCAUGGAGCAAAAAAAUAACAAGGCCACCACCUCUAACCAAGCUGCAAUUUUGAUUGGAAUGUUGUAUGGUACGCUGAUGUGCCACCAAAGAUCAAACUCUUCGCGUGGAGGGCUAUCAAAGAGGCUGUGGCAGCUCGGCAUUCCCUGAUCAUAGUAUGCGAGACUUGGUGGAGUUAUGCGAGACGAGGUUGGGGAUGUAGUUGCCUCUACUUGUCUUCAAUUGGGAGGGAAGUUCGAGCCUGACAUUGCUGAAGCUCUUGCCAUGAGACAAUGCUUGCUCAUUGCUAUUGAAUUUGGUUUCACAAAGCUUUGUGUUGAAACAGAUUGCCUCAAAUUGUUCAGCCAUGUUUCGAAGUUCCUCAUAGUAUUAUGAACUUUGUCUUGGCUGAUUUAAGCCCUUCGAGUAGUUAAUAAAAGCUCUCUGCUUGUUUGCUUGUCAAAAAAAAAAAAAAAAAUAAAAUAAAUAAAUAAAAAAAAUACAACUUAGCUUCCUUGUUUCUUCGCUUUCUUUUUCUUUGUCCACAAUAUUGACUAAAGAAUCCACGACAACCGCGCUACAGCCAUUUCAUGACUCGUCGUCAUCUACAAGUACCUUGAGAUGGUCAUCCACUAGGAUUCCACCAAGAAGCAAAUAGUAGGGGAAGAAAUAGAAGGUGAAAUGCUUAGUUAAAGUUGGAAAUUUAAGUUAUUUUAUGCUAUAUUUACAAUUUAAUUUCAUAUUUUUUGUUAUAGGUUAUGUAUUGUAUUUUUCUGGGUAAUGGUCGAUGGAUCUAAAAUUUGACCUAAUUAUUCAAUGUUGUUUAUGUAAUUUGCAUGUAAAGAUUAAUUUUGAGACUAUUGUUAGG
This is a long non-coding RNA of Chenopodium quinoa (quinoa), 2322 nucleotides long. RefSeq lists it as uncharacterized. The transcript is spliced from 5 exons. Lineage: Eukaryota; Viridiplantae; Streptophyta; Magnoliopsida; Caryophyllales; Amaranthaceae. The record is from RefSeq and is a predicted model, not a curated record.